UUUCUCAAGUCUGAAGCAUUUCUGAGCAAGACGACACAUAGAAUUCAAAGUUGAGUUGUGAUACAGGGGUUAAAGCGACAUGAGUGUAGAUAAGACACAGGUUUGUUAGAAAAUAGACACCAUCUUAGCAGAAAAUAGACACCUCUGCUAUAUAUAUUGGGACAUAUAAAAAAAGACAACUCUGUUCCGCAGAGUAGCUGUUGACAUUAUAGUUGCGCUGGAACUUUGUUGACUCUAGAGAACCUCGGGCAAAUCGCACAUCCCCGUGGAGGCGAUUUUGCGAGCGGAUGUCAUCCAUAUCAACUUUCGAUGUCAGUUUCUGCACCUCUCAUGGUGACCACGGGUAACAGGGAAUCAGGGUUCCAUUCUGCACAGGGACCCAGAGAAACGGCUACCACAUGCAAGGAAGGCAGCAGGCGUGCAAAUGACCCACUCCCGACGCGGGAAGGUAGUAACAACAAAUAACAAUACAGGACUCUUUAGAGGCCCUAUAAUUGUAAUGAGUCCACUUGAAAUUCUUUAACUCUGAUCAAUUGGAGGGAAGUCUGGUGCAGUGCGACUGACCCAUGCGUGCUGCAGCUAAAAACUCCACU
Pelobates cultripes (western spadefoot toad) is the source of this 593-nucleotide non-coding RNA. Lineage: Eukaryota; Metazoa; Chordata; Amphibia; Anura; Pelobatidae. The record is from the annotation of a GenBank genome assembly.